This 1314-nucleotide long non-coding RNA is filed under the name Zonotrichia albicollis (white-throated sparrow). RNAcentral describes it as "lncRNA (ENSZALG00000008717.1)". Lineage: Eukaryota; Metazoa; Chordata; Aves; Passeriformes; Passerellidae. The record is from RNAcentral.
CCACGGUGUAUAUCUAAGAUUAAAGCUUUAUUUUUAGAGGCCUGUAAUCCUUUCAAGGAGGUUUUGUUGAUAUAAGACUUCAUUGGAAAGUAAUUGUGGAUUGUACAGCUCUGACCUUUACAGAAAGCAGGGUGUGGGUCUGGAUAGCUGAGAAAUACUGUGCAUCAAUUUCUUGUGAAGCCCCUGCAGACCAGCUAAGUAUGCAUACAAGUUCAAGAAUUUAUUUAAAAGGUUACAAUUAGUGGUUCAGUCGUCAAAACUGGGGACGUGGUAUUUUUAUGCUAGGCGAAAUACACUAUUUAAAUAUAUUUUAAAAAUAAAUAAAUAAAAAAGAAUAAGGCCAGGCCUUCUGCACAAAUUGGAGGCAGCUAAAUGCUCUUUUGUGCCUGCAGCUCUAAGAAGGCUGUGAUGCAUGUGAAGGAAAGUGACUGACUUAACUCAUUGGGAUUCAGGGAACGGCCUGCCCUCUUUUGAAAAAAAAAAAAAAAAAAAGAAAGAAAAAAAAGCAAGAAGAAGAAGAAAAGUAAGUGUGUAUGUGUGUGUGGUGUGUGUGCGUAUUCGUGUAUGUGUGUGUGUGACAGAGAGAGAGAGGAAGAGAGGGAGAGGAGGGGGAGAUUCAGAGUCCUGCUUUCCUGAGCUGAGAGCUGCUGGUUCCCAAGCCGAAAGUAUUAGGAGAAACACGGCUUCUUGUGUCUUUGCUGCAUUUGCACAAUGAAAUCACUUCUAUUUUUAUUCUUGCUAACCGGCCGCUUUUGCUUGAAUCCACUCCGAGCCAUGGACGACGGGAACAAAAAAAAAAAAAAACUACUUAAAACCAACUAAACCAAAAAAAUAAAAUAAAAAAAAAAGGAAAAGAAAACCCUAACAAACCCAACCACGCUGGGAUGAGGAUUACUCACUUUAGCGCUGCCUGCGGCCGCACGCAGGAGCUACGGUGCCGAGGGGGCCCGGAGCCGCCUUCCCGGUUUGCCCCCGGAUGCCCCAGCAAGCUACGGGAAAAGUCUCAGGGAAGCCCAGCUCGCCGCAGGAUCCCACCGCCGCCCGCGGCCGCAGCACAUCCCGCCUCGCCUCCUCUCUCUCUCGCGGGCCCUGGCGCCGAGGAAGCAGUCGAGGUCAGCUGUCCGGUUCCUGCGGUCCGGCCGUGCUGGAGCUCGCAGGGUGAUGCGAGGUGCCCGGCUGCUCCGCUCCUCCCGGCGCGCCCUCGGCACCGAAAAGGAAUGAAUGGUCCCGAUCCUGAGCCGUGAAAGAUGGCAAAAAGCGUAAUAAUAAUAAUAAUAUAAUAAAAACUUAGGCUAUUUUUUUUUAAUUAUUGUA